AUGGAUGAUAAUCCACAGCCCGCAUUAGAGGGAAGGUCAGACAAGAUACUGGCUCCUCUACUCUUAAAAUGCAUGCAUUCCCGCCCCCGCCCCCCCCCCCAGUAUUUUAUGCGCACCUGUGAUUUGCAUUGCCAUUCUGGUUUUGYAUCUUUAGCAACUUUGACUUUUUAUAGGAUGAAUUCCUUUAUCUCUAGGGCAGGCUUUCUAAUAUUUUACUGGCAACCAUGCCGUGAAUAUCUGACAGCAAAAACACUCCAGGUGCCGGCCGGCGGGGAAGCCUCUCCGGAGCCAGCAGCGCAGGGCUCUCGGUGCAGGGGAAUGUCCCUGCCGCCCCUUCCUGCGGAUUUAGGUGUCCCCCUUCCCGGUGCUCCUGCCCCGUGGCCCCCGCGCGGGGUCUCUCCCCCCACGCCGCCCCGGGAGCGUUUCCGCGGGGCAGAGCCUCCUGCUCUGGGCUUGCCGGUUCCUCUCGCCGUGCGCGGCCCGGGCGAGCCCGGCGCGGCUCARCACCCGCCGGGGCCGCCGACAGCGGGCGGGCACCGGCCGGGCAGGUCCGGGGUUCGGGCUCUGCCCCGGGGCGUCGCGGUCCCCGCGCCCGGUGCUCGGCGCUGCGUGUCCAAGCAUCAAAUUCCGGACCCGGGGAAGGCGGAGCGGAGGUGGGAAACGCUUCGCGGAUACACGAAGCGCUGUUUGCGGGAGGCCCGCGGGGAUGGGAGAGCGGGGGCGGGGAGAAGCACCCGCUCGGACGACGGCGAGGGAUCGGGGGGCCCCGGGGGCAGCCCGGAGGAGGAAGGUGGAGGGGAGAGUUUGCUACAGAGGCGAAGCUGGAGCGGACCCGGGCAGAGACCCGGGACCUGCCCCGAGUCUGUGCAGCGCCGCGACUUCGCAGCGGUCCCGACGUCGGGGGGAGCUGCAGCGGGAAGCGUGGGGCUAGGAGGGCCGGGGGCGCCUGCCGUGCGCCGGGGGCAGGAAGAGGCCCCACCUCGGCAAACGCGGGGCAAAUGGGAGGGCCCGGGGGCGCGGUCCCGCCGCGGGAGGAAACGUCCCGCGGGCACGGCGGGAGCGGGCGGAAAACGAAACGGGGGCGAGAAAGUGGGUCAGGGCCGAAGCCCGGCGCGGUCGGGGCCGGCGGCGGCGCAGGGGCUGCGCGGCGCUGCGCGGCGCUCACACCUGCAUUGCAGCACUGGCGGAGCGGCGGUGCGCUCCCGGGCCCUCCGCGCUCGGCUCCGCGCAGCGCUGCAAUGCAGCACUGCGGGAACCCCCCGCCCCCCCUCCCCGCGCCCUUCGCCUCCCUCUGCCGGCUCUCGGCUCCGGAGCCCCAGCCCGGGGCACGGGCGCCGGCCCCGCCGUGCACAGCUCCCGCUCGCACGGGGAUCUUCCAGCGGCGCCGCCGCGGCGCUCGGGUCUCCCGCUCCGUGCAGAGCUGAGCCUCCCCCCGCCCCGGCUGCGGCUGCCGUGGGGCGGGGGAACACGGGCCGCCUCCCGCUGUGUCCCCUGCACGGCGCGGGCAGGCGGGAAGGGCUCGGACUGGUGCCUGUUAAAUAA
RNAcentral lists this long non-coding RNA (1542 nucleotides) under Apteryx haastii (Great spotted kiwi). RNAcentral's name for it is "lncRNA (ENSAHAG00000005098.1)". The record is from RNAcentral. Lineage: Eukaryota; Metazoa; Chordata; Aves; Apterygiformes; Apterygidae.